Molecule: ribosomal RNA, 440 nt
Filed under: uncultured bacterium
Lineage: Bacteria
Description: partial 16S ribosomal RNA
Rfam family: Bacterial small subunit ribosomal RNA
Source: RNAcentral
CCUACGGGUGGCAGCAGUGGGGAAUAUUGCACAAUGGGGGAAACCCUGAUGCAGCGACGCCGCGUGAGUGAAGAAGUAAUUCGUUAUGUAAAGCUCUAUCAGCAGGGAAGAAAAUGACGGUACCUGAGUACUAAGCCCCGGCUAACUCCGUACCAGCAGCCGCGGUAAUACGUAGGGGGCAAGCGUUAUCCGGAUUUACUGGGUGUAAGGGGAGCGUAGACGGCAGUGCAAGUCUGGCGUGAAAGGCGGGGGCUCAACCCCCGGACUGCUAUGGAAACUGUACGGCUGGAGUGCAGGAGAGGUAAGUGGAAUUCCUAGUGUAGCGGUGAAAUGCGUAGAUAUUAGGAGGAACACCAGUGGCGAAGGCGGCUUACUGGACUGUAACUGACGUUGAGGCUCGAAAGCGUGGGGAGCAAACAGGAUUAGAUACCCGUGUAGUC